RNAcentral lists this ribosomal RNA (405 nucleotides) under uncultured soil bacterium. Its description in RNAcentral is "bacterial SSU rRNA". It matches the Rfam family "Bacterial small subunit ribosomal RNA", at positions 26 to 427 of the family's 1533-position model. The record is from RNAcentral.
AGAUUGAACGCUGGCGGCAUGCCUUACACAUGCAAGUCGAACGGCAGCACGGGAGCAAUCCUGGUGGCGAGUGGCGAACGGGUGAGUAAUACAUCGGAACGUGCCCAAUCGUGGGGGAUAACGCAGCGAAAGCUGUGCUAAUACCGCAUAAGAUCUACGGAUGAAAGCAGGGGAUCGCAAGACCUUGCGCGAAUGGAGCGGCCGAUGGCAGAUUAGGUAGUUGGUGAGGUAAAGGCUCACCAAGCCUUCGAUCUGUAGCUGGUCUGAGAGGACGACCAGCCACACGUGGGACUGAGACACGGCCCAGACUCCGUACGGGAGCAGCGAGGUGGGUAAUUUGGACAGUGGGACGAAAGCCUAGACUCCAGCCGAUCGCCGCGUGACGAGGAGUAGGAACGGUCCGUU